CCGCCUCAUCACAACCCGAACCACCACCACCUUUCCGAUUUUGAAAUCAGAUAAGGGAAUAUACGAUUGCAUCUUCAAUUUAAUGAGUUCUAUCUUAUUGUGUCUGGCCUUCAAUUUGAAGUGUCGGUGCUUUUAUGGUGUGUUCUGAGUUCUUCAACAUCAUAUCAGUAUUGGAUUUCUAGCUUCAACGAUGAAAUUUUUGUCGUGGAAUGUGUAUGAGGAUUUUAUCAAGAGUGGGAGUAAGGUUAAUGUUUAUACUUUGAAUAUUAUGGUUAAUGCUUUGUGUAAAGAUGGUAGAUUGGAUAAUGUUAGGGGUUUUUUAGAUGAGAUGGAGGGAAAAGGGGUUUAUCCUGAUCUUGUAACUUAAAAUACUCUGAUUAAUGCUUAUUGUCGAAGGGGGGUUGUUUCGGCGGCGUUUCGGUUGGUGGAAUCUAUGGGUUGUAACGGGUUGAAGCCUGGGCUUUUUACGUAUAAUGCUUUGAUUAAUGGUUUGUGUAAGGAGGGGAGUUAUGAGAGAGCUAGGUGUGUUUUGGAUGAGAUGUUGGGGGUUGGAUUGUGUCCUGAUGUUGCGAGUUUUAAUCCGAUGUUGGUGGAGAGUUGUAGGAAGGAGGAUGUUUGUGAGGCCGAGAGGGUUUUUAAUGAAAUAUUGCGGCGUGGAGUUGUUCCUGAUUUGAUUAGCUUUAGCUCGACUGUUGGGGUGUUUUCUAGAAAUGGAGAACUUGGUCGGGCGUUGGCAUAUUUUGACAAGAUGAAAAGUGUUGGGUUGGUUCCUGAUACGGUUAUUUAUACGAUUCUUAUCAAUGGGUAUUGUAGGAACGGUGAUGUGACCGGUGCACUGAAAAUGCGGAAUGAGAUGGUGGAGCGGGGUUGUGUUAUGGAUGUGGUUACAUAUAAUACUCUGUUGAAUGGAUUGUGUAGGGGGAACUGACCUAUACUCCUUCCUUCACCGAUGAUAAGUAUUUAUCUGCUGCUUUAAAACCUAAAGUAGUCGUGUUAAGAGAAGAAGGAAGCAAUGGAGACAGAGAAAUGGCCGCAGCGUUUCAUGUUGCUGGUUUUGAACCAUGGGAUAUUACUAUGUCAGACCUUCUUAAUGGUGUGAUCUCUUUGCAAGAGUUUCAUGGUAUUGUGUUUGUUGGUGGAUUUAGCUAUGUCGAUGUGCUUGAUUCCGCAAAAGGUUGGUCUGCUUCUAUAAGAUUCAAUGAGCCUGUUUUAAAACAGUUUCAAGACUUUUAAAAGCGUCCCGACACUUUCAGUCUAGGUGUAUGCAAUGGUUGUCAGCUAAUGGCUUUGUUGGGAUGGAUACCGGGACCUCAAGUCGGGGGUACACUAGGUGCUGGUGGCGACCUAUCGCAGCCUAGGUUCAUCCAUAAUGAGUCCGGGCGGUUCGAAUGCCGUUUUACAAACGUGACAAUAAAGGACUCACCAGCUAUGAUGUUCAAAGGCAUGUCUGGUAGUAGAAUGGGGAUAUGGACUGCUCAUGGUGAGGGAAGAGCUUAUUUCCCAGACGAAGGUGUUUUGGAACGCAUCGUUCAUUCAGACUUAGCUCCUGUAAGAUAUUGUGAUGAUGAUGGAAAUCCAACCGAGACAUAUCCUUUCAAUGUAAACGGCUCUCCAUUAGGAGUAGCAGCUAUUUGUUCUCCUGAUGGUCGACAUCUUGAAAUGAUGCCUCAUCCAGAGCGUUGCUUCUUAAUGUGGCAAUAUCCAGUGUAUCCAAAGUAGUGGAAUGUUGACAAGAAGGGACCUAGUCCUUGGUUGCGCAUGUUCCAUAACGCUCGAGAUUGGUGUUCCUGAGACAGUUUCAUGCAAAGUUUAUCACGGUUAAAUUGGUCUGACUAGAAGUGGAGCUCAAGCAAGAUGCAAUGGUGAAUCUCUCAUACCGUACUGAAUACAUGAUUUAUUGCAUUCUUGUCUUAAUAUAAAAGGUGGAUUCGAUUUGGGAAAGAUCUUGAAUUGUUGGAUUCUCCCGGGAAACUUCCAAUGCGAAUCAGUGACCAGUCAGCUGCUAUAAAACUUGUUAUAUGUGAUGACAUUGGAGAGAAAUCCUAUGAUGUGGAUGAUGUUGCGGCAAUUCUUGUACAGAUGCUUGCAAAGCUUCCAACUGUAGGUCGAGAUACACUUUGUAAACGAUACAAGUUUCACGUAGAUAGUGAAUGUGGUAAAAUGUGUUUGCAUUUGUAAAAACAGACAGUGCUAACUCGCCCCAUAGAGCAAAGUGUCGUGUGCGUGAAUGCUUAUUGGAAUUUCGCACUGAGGUUGAGUAAGGGCUUUAUGGAAUGCCACAUUUUUGGAAGAAGAGCUCAGGGGCUUGAUUUCAGAGCAGUGGAAAGACAUGGGAUGGAAAGGGAAGGAUCCAUCAACAGAUUUUAGCUUCCAAAAUCAAGCCAAAACCUUGGAAUAGAAAUGUCAUCUCAAGAAUCAAGUCUACACGUGAAUUUCGAUCACGUCAAGGUUGCUGUCACUGAGUUCGCUAGGGGAUUUAAUUACAGUUACUACCAGCCCAUGCACUUAGCGAUACUAAACGGAGAUUGGGAAUCUACAAAGGCUUUCAUUGAUAACGAUCCAACCGCACUGACAGCAAAGGUUACGAUACUUGGCAGGAAUACACUUCAUUUUGCAGCUGUAGGUGUCUUAUCAGAUUAUAGGCUGAAAUACACAAGGGUCUUUACAAUCAUGUGUGACACUGACAUUUCUGAGAAACAAAGGUUUUUCUCAUAGUUUUUUGUGAGAAUUGCGUAUGCAAACUGUAAUCUAAUUUGACCGUUACUGGAAUCGUAAACUUCAUGGCAGUCCAUUUCAGUACUGUGAAAUGUUCAUGCCUUUAUCUUACAGGAAAGACAAACUGCACGAGAAGGUACCGAUGUACCAUGUGCUUUUCGGAUUUUAGUGUGAAUUUCUUUAUAACUUACCAAUUGAAGUUGAAUCAGUUGUGUAUUAGUCUGCUCUUAUCUUGAAACUGCACUGUCAGAGUUGUGGAAUAAAGUGGUAUUAGUAGCUUGAAGUCUGAACGUGUUUGUCCUGCUUGUAUUUUGUAGAAUAGUUGACAAACUUUGCAAAAUAGCAACCUGCCAAUCUUUGGUGAUAGUCUGAUGUAAUCUUUUAUUUGAUUGUUCCUAAGUUCAAACUAAUUAUGCUACCAAAAGUGUUAGUAUUUGAUGAACACAAUUGGUUUUUACUCUUAAAAUAAAGCUGACUUGCAGUGUAACAAACUUAGGAUCUGUUUUGUGAAAAUAUUUAUAGUAGUUGCAUGCUCAAUAUUUAUAAUUAAAAGUGGCCUGGAUAGUUAGAUUUUGCAAAAUAAUCGAGCUGGAAAAGAAGUAUUUUUUAAUGUAAAACAAAAAUCACAUCUAGUGACGAUUGGCACCCUUCAAUAAUUCUUUUUAUUGUAUUGAUGUUGCUUUGCUAAGUGAGUGAUAUUGUUUCCAUUGGUGUUUAGAUAAUUUUGCCUCUUAAGGAAGAUGGACUUGUGUUCUCGACCCUCUCUAGUUUGCAAAUGCUAUGACUUGCAGGAGGAGAUAGAAAAUAAACUAGAAGUUGCUGGUGCUUUGGCAAUCAAACUUCUUCAGCGAUAUAAUCACUCAAUGUCCACAAUGAAGACUGCUUCACAGCAUCUAUCAGGAGUUCAAUCUAUAUUUUCAAGUCAAAUACCCGGCAAGAAUUCAUUCCAUUUCAGCUAUCAAUUAAGUUUGUUUCAGUGAAUUCAGUUUUAGAAUUGAUUUCAUAAUUGUGAUUAUUCAGAUGCAUCUUUUAAGAAAGGAUACAAAACAAAACACAUUAGAGGAAAAUCGGAAACUUUGUGUGCUCAGUACAUAAAUACUAAGGAAGUGAGGGUAGCAAUUGGAUCUUGGAAUGUUGCUGGAAGACAUCCAUCCCAGGAUCUUGAUAUUGAUGACUAGAUUUGUGCCGAAGAACCGAGUGAUAUUUUCGCUGCUCGUUUCUGUUUAUUUUACAAUUUCUGGUUUUGUUCAAUUGUUUCUGAAUGUGAGUUGUUUUCACAUCAGUAGGGUGCUCUCCAUUGGGAGUCACAUUUUAUCGGUUCAGUGCUAUCAUCCAUUGUACUGCUUAUAUGCUAUAAUCAAUAUACCACUAUUUCCUCCAUAUUAAUAUUGUUGUUUACUGUUUGUGUGAGUAUUAAGCACAUCAGUUUUUGUGUUGACUUCCAAAUCAUAAAAAAUUAUUUGUGGUUGGUUUAGAAUGUUAUGCACAUCUUCUCAUAAAAUAAAAUAAUUACAAAGUUAAGUUUAAUUUUUAUAUGUAACCAAAAACU
Long non-coding RNA from Vicia villosa (hairy vetch), 4264 nucleotides. RefSeq lists it as uncharacterized. The record is from RefSeq and is a predicted model, not a curated record. The transcript is spliced from 7 exons. Lineage: Eukaryota; Viridiplantae; Streptophyta; Magnoliopsida; Fabales; Fabaceae.